Molecule: transfer RNA, 72 nt
Rfam family: tRNA
About the family: Transfer RNA (tRNA) molecules are approximately 80 nucleotides in length.
Source: Rfam
UGGGCUAUAGCCAAGUGGUAAGGCACCAGGUUUUGAUCCUGGUAUGCGCUGGUUCGAUCCCAGCUAGCCCAA